GCCAGACUCCUACGGGAGGCAGCAGUGAGGAAUAUUGGUCAAUGGCCGAGAGGCUGAACCAGCCAAGUCGCGUGAGGGAAGACGGCCCUACGGGUUGUAAACCUCUUUUGUCGGGGAGCAAAGCGAACCACGUGUGGUUCAUUGAGAGUACCCGAAGAAAAAGCAUCGGCUAACUCCGUGCCAGCAGCCGCGGUAAUACGGAGGAUGCGAGCGUUAUCCGGAUUUACUGGGUGUAAAGGGAGCGUAGACGGCGCUGCAAGUCCGGAGUGAAAGCCCAUGGCUUAACCAUGGUACUGCUCUGGAAACUGUGGAGCUUGAGUGCGGGAGGGGCAGGCGGAAUUCCUAGUGUAGCGGUGAAAUGCGUAGAUAUUAGGAGGAACACCGGCGGCGAAGGCGGCCUGCUGGACUGCAACUGACGUUGAGGCCCGAAAGCGUGGGGAGCAAACAGGAUUAGAUACCCGAGUA
This 465-nucleotide ribosomal RNA is filed under the name uncultured bacterium. RNAcentral's name for it is "bacterial SSU rRNA". It matches the Rfam family "Bacterial small subunit ribosomal RNA", at positions 330 to 792 of the family's 1533-position model. The record is from RNAcentral.